GCGCAUGUGCUGUGAGCUCGAUGAGUAGGGCGGGACACGUGGUAUCCUGUCUGAAUAUGGGGGGACCAUCCUCCAAGGCUAAAUACUCCUGACUGACCGAUAGUGAACCAGUACCGUGAGGGAAAGGCGAAAAGAACCCCGGCGAGGGGAGUGAAAAAGAACCUGAAACCGUGUACGUACAAGCAGUGGGAGCACAGGUUUACCUGUGUGACUGCGUACCUUUUGUAUAAUGGGUCAGCGACUUAUAUUCUGUAGCAAGGUUAACCGAAUAGGGGAGCCGGAGGGAAACCGAGUCUUAAUUGGGCGUUAAGUUGCAGGGUAUAGACCCGAAACCCGGUGAUCUAGCCAUGGGCAGGUUGAAGGUUGGGUAACACUAACUGGAGGACCGAACCGACUAAUGUUGAAAAAUUAGCGGAUGACCUGUGGCUGGGGGUGAAAGGCCAAUCAAACCGGGAGAUAGCUGGUUCUCCCCGAAAGCUAUUUAGGUAGCGCCUCGUGAAUUCAUCUCCGGGGGUAGAGCACUGUUUCGGCUAGGGGGCCAUCCCGGCUUACCAACCCGAUGCAAACUGCGAAUACCGGAGAAUGUUAUCACGGGAGACACACGGCGGGUGCUAACGUCCGUCGUGAAGAGGGAAACAACCCAGACCGCCAGCUAAGGUCCCAAAGUCAUGGUUAAGUGGGAAACGAUGUGGGAAGGCCCAGACAGCCAGGAUGUUGGCUUAGAAGCAGCCAUCAUUUAAAGAAAGCGUAAUAGCUCACUGGUCGAGUCGGCCUGCGCGGAAGAUGUAACGGGGCUAAACCAUGCACCGAAGCUGCGGCAGCGACACUGUGUGUUGUUGGGUAGGGGAGCGUUCUGUAAGCCUGCGAAGGUGGCCUGUGAGGGUUGCUGGAGGUAUCAGAAGUGCGAAUGCUGACAUAAGUAACGAUAAAGCGGGUGAAAAGCCCGCUCGCCGGAAGACCAAGGGUUCCUGUCCAACGUUAAUCGGGGCAGGGUGAGUCGACCCCUAAGGCGAGGCCGAAAGGCGUAGUCGAUGGGAAACGGGUUAAUAUUCCCGUACUUGGUGUUACUGCGAAGGGGGGACGGAGAAGGCUAUGUUGGCCGGGCGACGGUUGUCCCGGUUUAAGCGUGUAGGUGUGUGUUCCAGGUAAAUCCGGUUCACUUUAACACUGAGGCGUGACGACGAGGCACUACGGUGCUGAAGCAACAAAUGCCCUGCUUCCAGGAAAAGCCUCUAAGCAUCAGGUAACAUCAAAUCGUACCCCAAACCGACACAGGUGGUCAGGUAGAGAAUACCAAGGCGCUUGAGAGAACUCGGGUGAAGGAACUAGGCAAAAUGGUGCCGUAACUUCGGGAGAAGGCACGCUGACACGUAGGUGAAGUGAUUUACUCAUGGAGCUGAAGUCAGUCGAAGAUACCAGCUGGCUGCAACUGUUUAUUAAAAACACAGCACUGUGCAAACACGAAAGUGGACGUAUACGGUGUGACGCCUGCCCGGUGCCGGAAGGUUAAUUGAUGGGGUCAGCGCAAGCGAAGCUCCUGAUCGAAGCCCCGGUAAACGGCGGCCGUAACUAUAACGGUCCUAAGGUAGCGAAAUUCCUUGUCGGGUAAGUUCCGACCUGCACGAAUGGCGUAAUGAUGGCCAGGCUGUCUCCACCCGAGACUCAGUGAAAUUGAACUCGCUGUGAAGAUGCAGUGUACCCGCGGCAAGACGGAAAGACCCCGUGAACCUUUACUAUAGCUUGACACUGAACAUUGAGCCUUGAUGUGUAGGAUAGGUGGGAGGCUUUGAAGUGUGGACGCCAGUCUGCAUGGAGCCGACCUUGAAAUACCACCCUUUAAUGUUUGAUGUUCUAACGUGGACCCGUUACCCGGGUUGCGGACAGUGUCUGGUGGGUAGUUUGACUGGGGCGGUCUCCUCCUAAAGAGUAACGGAGGAGCACGAAGGUUGGCUAAUCCUGGUCGGACAUCAGGAGGUUAGUGCAAUGGCAUAAGCCAGCUUGACUGCGAGCGUGACGGCGCGAGCAGGUGCGAAAGCAGGUCAUAGUGAUCCGGUGGUUCUGAAUGGAAGGGCCAUCGCUCAACGGAUAAAAGGUACUCCGGGGAUAACAGGCUGAUACCGCCCAAGAGUUCAUAUCGACGGCGGUGUUUGGCACCUCGAUGUCGGCUCAUCACAUCCUGGGGCUGAAGUAGGUCCCAAGGGUAUGGCUGUUCGCCAUUUAAAGUGGUACGCGAGCUGGGUUUAGAACGUCGUGAGACAGUUCGGUCCCUAUCUGCCGUGGGCGCUGGAGAACUGAGGGGGGCUGCUCCUAGUACGAGAGGACCGGAGUGGACGCAUCACUGGUGUUCGGGUUGUCAUGCCAAUGGCACUGCCCGGUAGCUAAAUGCGGAAGAGAUAAGUGCUGAAAGCAUCUAAGCACGAAACUUGCCCCGAG
RNAcentral lists this ribosomal RNA (2433 nucleotides) under Salmonella enterica subsp. enterica serovar Enteritidis. RNAcentral's name for it is "partial 23S ribosomal RNA". It matches the Rfam family "Bacterial large subunit ribosomal RNA", at positions 388 to 2803 of the family's 2925-position model. The record is from RNAcentral. Lineage: Bacteria; Pseudomonadati; Pseudomonadota; Gammaproteobacteria; Enterobacterales; Enterobacteriaceae.